RNAcentral lists this ribosomal RNA (468 nucleotides) under uncultured bacterium. RNAcentral describes it as "partial 16S ribosomal RNA". It matches the Rfam family "Bacterial small subunit ribosomal RNA", at positions 28 to 507 of the family's 1533-position model. The record is from RNAcentral.
GACGAACGCUGGCGGCGUGCUUAACACAUGCAAGUCGAACGGAAAGGCCCUGCUUUUGUGGGGUGCUCGAGUGGCGAACGGGUGAGUAACACGUGAGUAACCUGCCCUUGACUUUGGGAUAACUUCAGGAAACUGGGGCUAAUACCGGAUAGGAGCUCCUGCUGCAUGGUGGGGGUUGGAAAGUUUCGGCGGUUGGGGAUGGACUCGCGGCUUAUCAGCUUGUUGGUGGGGUAGUGGCUUACCAAGGCCUUGACGGGUAGCCGGCCUGAGAGGGUGACCGGCCAAAUUGGGACUGAGAUACGGCCCAGACUCCUACGGGAGGCAGCAGUGGGGAAUAUUGCACAAUGGGCGGAAGCCUGAUGCAGCAACGCCGCGUGCGGGAUGACGGCCUUCGGGUUGUAAACCGCUUUCGCCUGUGACGAAGCGUGAGUGACGGUAAUGGGUAAAGAAGCACCGGCUAACUACGUG